Molecule: ribosomal RNA, 434 nt
Filed under: uncultured bacterium
Lineage: Bacteria
Description: partial 16S ribosomal RNA
Rfam family: Bacterial small subunit ribosomal RNA
Source: RNAcentral
AGCGAACGCUGGCGGCAGGCCUAACACAUGCAAGUCGAACGAACCUUUCGGGGUUAGUGGCGGACGGGUGAGUAACACGUGGGAACGUGCCUUUAGGUUCGGAAUAACUCAGGGAAACUUGUGCUAAUACCGAAUGUGCCCUUCGGGGGAAAGAUUAAUCGCCUUUAGAGCGGCCCGCGUCUGAUUAGCUAGUUGGUUGAGGUAAUGGCUCACCAAGGCGACGAUCAGUAGCUGGUCUGAGAGGAUGAUCAGCCACAUUGGGACUGAGACACGGCCCAAACUCCUACGGGAGGCAGCAGUGGGGAAUCUUGCGCAAUGGGCGAAAGCCUGACGCAGCCAUGCCGCGUGAAUGAUGAAGGUCUUAGGAUUGUAAAAUUCUUUCACCGGGGACGAUAAUGACGGUAUCCGGAGAAGAAGCCCCGGCUAACUUCGUG